RNAcentral lists this ribosomal RNA (252 nucleotides) under uncultured bacterium. Its description in RNAcentral is "partial 16S ribosomal RNA". It matches the Rfam family "Bacterial small subunit ribosomal RNA", at positions 524 to 776 of the family's 1533-position model. The record is from RNAcentral.
UACGAAGGGGGCUAGCGUUGUUCGGAAUUACUGGGCGUAAAGCGUACGUAGGCGGAUUGUUAAGUGAGGGGUGAAAUCCCGAGGCUCAACCUCGGAACUGCCUUUCAUACUGGCAAUCUUGAGUCCGGGAGAGGUGAGUGGAACUCCUAGUGUAGAGGUGAAAUUCGUAGAUAUUAGGAGAACACCAGUGGCGAAGGCGGCUCACUGGCCCGGAACUGACGCUGAGGUACGAAAGCGUGGGGAGCAAACAGG